RNAcentral lists this ribosomal RNA (388 nucleotides) under uncultured bacterium. Its description in RNAcentral is "bacterial SSU rRNA". It matches the Rfam family "Bacterial small subunit ribosomal RNA", at positions 29 to 419 of the family's 1533-position model. The record is from RNAcentral.
AUUGAACGCUGGCGGCAUGCCUUACACAUGCAAGUCGAACGGCAGCACGGGAGCAAUCCUGGUGGCGAGUGGCGAACGGGUGAGUAAUAUAUCGGAACGUGCCCAGUCGUGGGGAUAACGUAGCGAAAGCUACGCUAAUACCGCAUACGUCCUACGGAUGAAAGCAGGGGACCGCAAGGCCUUGCGCGGACGGAGCGGCCGAUGGCAGAUUAGGUAGUUGGUGGGGUAAAGGCUCACCAAGCCAACGAUCUGUAGCUGGUCUGAGAGGACGACCAGCCACACUGGAACUGAGACACGGUCCAGACUCCUACGGGAGGCAGCAGUGGGGAAUUUUGGACAAUGGGCGCAAGCCUGAUCCAGCAAUGCCGCGUGCAGGAUGAAGGCCUUC